GACGAACGCUGGCGGCGUGCUUAACACAUGCAAGUCGAACGGAAAGGCCCUGCCUUGGUGGGGUGCUCGAGGGGCGAACGGGUGAGUAACACGUGAGUAACCUGUCACUGACUUUGGGAUAACUUCAGGAAACUGGGGCUAAUACCGGAUAGGAGCUCCUGCCGCAGGGUGGGGGUGGGUAAGUUUCGGUGGUUGGGGAUGGACUAGCGGCUUAUUAGCUUGUUGGAUGGGUAGUGGGUUAGCAAGGCAAGGACGGGUGGCCGGCCUGGGCGGGUGAGCGGCCACGUUGGGCCUGGGAUGCGGCCCAGACUCCUACGGGACGCAGCGGUGCGGAAUAGUGCACUAUGGGAGGAGGCCUGAUGCAGUAACGCAGCGUGGGGGAUGACGGCAUUCGGGUUGUAAACCGCUUUCGCCUGUGACGAAGCGUGAAUGACGGUAACGGGUAAAGAAGCACCGGCUAACUCCGUG
This 468-nucleotide ribosomal RNA is filed under the name uncultured bacterium. RNAcentral describes it as "partial 16S ribosomal RNA". It matches the Rfam family "Bacterial small subunit ribosomal RNA", at positions 28 to 507 of the family's 1533-position model. The record is from RNAcentral.